This 248-nucleotide ribosomal RNA is filed under the name uncultured Roseburia sp. RNAcentral's name for it is "partial 16S ribosomal RNA". It matches the Rfam family "Bacterial small subunit ribosomal RNA", at positions 524 to 771 of the family's 1533-position model. Lineage: Bacteria; Bacillati; Bacillota; Clostridia; Lachnospirales; Lachnospiraceae. The record is from RNAcentral.
UACGUAGGGGGCAAGCGUUAUCCGGAUUUACUGGGUGUAAAGGGAGCGCAGGCGGUGAGGCAAGUCUGAUGUGAAAACCCGGGGCUCAACUCCGGGACUGCAUUGGAAACUGUCUUACUUGAGUACCGGAGAGGUAAGUGGAAUUCCUAGUGUAGCGGUGAAAUGCGUAGAUAUUAGGAGGAACACCAGUGGCGAAGGCGGCUUACUGGACGGUAACUGACGCUGAGGCUCGAAAGCGUGGGGAGCAA